CCUUUUUGAAAUCAUUAAGUAUUUCUUGCAAUCGGUUCUCAAUUCUGAUUUCCAAUGCUUCCAUUUGUGCUUUCAUUGAGUUAUCGGUGGCCAUUUUGUAAAACCGCAAAUCUGUAAUCUCAACUCCUGUUUUUGGUGUCAAGAUUAGGGCAUAAAUCACUGCCCUACUCGGUGUUGUUGUUGUGAUGCAAUCGGUGGUAGCACUAUUGGAAUGAAGGGUUGCUGCGAGGAUAUGGGGAUGUAGCUGCGUUCGCUGCAUGGGAGGCAACGAUGCUUGCUGUGGUUGUUGCGUGGAGGGAUCACUACUGCUGAGGGCUGGGAGGCAGCGAUGGUUGUGUGGCUGGGGUAGCACCGCCAAGGGCUCGCCGCUGCGAUGGCUGCGACGGCGCAGAUGGAAGGCAGCGUUGCUCUGUCUCUAUCACACUGCGGAAGGAGGCACUAGUGAGAGGCAACGAUGCUUGUUACAAUUGCUACGUGGAGGGAUCGCUGCUACUGAGGACUGAGAGGUAGCGAUGGUGGUGCGGUUGGGGGCAGCAUCGGCAAGGGCUCGCCGAUGCGGUGGCUGCGACGGAGGAAGAGUCGCUGCCCUGUGUUUCAGUUGCUGUGUGAGAUGAGAGCGUCGGGGGCUAGAAGGCGACGAUUGCAACUGUUGUGACUCACGGAAGCGAUCGCUAAAUAGUCAGGUUGAGGCUGCGAUGAUGGCAUCCGGUGGCUGCAGCAGUGGAGGCAGAGCAAGGGAGAGGCAGCGUUGAAGUGGUCGGGGUUGAGGUUGCAGUGGAGAAUAGGAAUCGACGGUGGCUCUGCGGGAACAAAGGCAAUUGGUGAUUUACCUUGUUUCUGUUACCAGAGUAAGGGAGAGGCUACGAGGAUCACGGCUGGGCGACGAGCAGCGUUGUCACUGGCUGGGCAGUAGCAGCGACAGUGACGGUAGCCGGCGUUCGCAGCAACAAGGGGACCCAUGACUGUGGUGCGGUUGGAAACAAGGGCAGCAAGGUGAGCUGCCUGUGCUCUGUUUCGGUUGCAAAGGAUGCAGAGCAAGGUGGAGCGGCGGCUAGGAGGCGAGCGGCAGUCGUCGCACGGUGGCCCGCAGCGGUGAUGGGUCGGUUAGGCGACGACAGCGCUGGAGGGGAAGAGGAGUGCUGGAGGUGGCGCGGCUGCGAUCGACGAGGGGCUGCAGCAACAGAGGAACUCUGUUUCUGCAACCGCUGCAACGAGGGGCUGCGGCAACCGGUGGUUGCGGUUGCGACCCAAGGGGGGGGGGGGCACGACUGGGAGGCGGGCGGCGGUGAUCGAGCGAUCGGGAAGCAGCGGCGGCAGUGGAGAAAAAGGCAGCGAGCGUCGUCGUUGGCCGGGAAGUUGCGAUGCUGGAGAAGGGAAACAGGGUGCUCUGUUUCUAUCGCACCACAGCCGGAGCCGCUGGCGAUGCUGGCAACGGCGGUGCGACAGUGAAGAAGGAGGCAGCAGUGGUGGCGUGGUUGGAAGUAGCGUCACCAACGAUCGCCGACGAGGGGAGGUCGAGCGGCUGCGGCUGCGACCCAAGGGGAGGCGGCAACGACAGUAGGGCUGGGAUGGACGCUGGCAGCGUCGUCUCCUGGCCGGGGAACAGCGGCGGCGGUGGUCGCCGGCCGGGAAGCGGGGCGAUGGUGGGCGCUGGCCGGAGAGCAGCAGCGGCGGGUGGGUUGGCCGGAAGCAGGGGACGCAGGGGUGGCUGCGGCUUCUUCUUCCUCUCGUGUUUUUUUUUUUUUUUUUUUUUUGAUCGAGAUGGGGCAGCGAGGAGGUCGAGCGGUGGUCGAAGGUCGCUGGCCGGGGAGAAGCAGCGACAACGGUGAAGAAAGAGUUGCCUUGUAGUGGUGGUGGGGAAGAAGGGAAGCAAGGUUGCGGCGGGUUGCGCCAAGGAUCGUGGCUCUGAUACCAAAUGAUAAGACCCUAAAAUCUUAUCGUGGAAGAAAGGGGAGAAAUGAGGAUGAUAAUGAUCGCUUCGAGGGGAUCGGCCUCCUUGAUCUCUUCGAGGGGAUCGGCCCUCCUUGAGCACUUCGAGGGGAUCGACCUCCUAGGGUUUGUCCAAAGACAGAAUAAUAUUUUUCAUAUAUUACUGAAAAGAAACAGUUACAUCCCUAUUUAUAGAGUUCCACCCAGAGUCCAUCAGGACUUGAACUCUAAUAAUAAAUAAAUAUUAGAUAAACCUCUACUUGACUCUAACUAAACCAAACCGACUCAAUAAACAAAUGGACUAAACGGACUCAAUAAACAUUAUUCAAAAGCUCAGAAAAAGGGUCCUAACAAUAAUUUCUUACACAGAGUUCAAUGAUGCAGAAGAUCCAUAUGGCUGAUCAUGAAUAGUUUGGACAUCAUGGCUUUUGUUAUUAUCGUGGUUGCUUGCCCUUGCCUCUUUUAUUGGCAAAUUAUCACUGAUCUAGGUUUUUUUUCUUCAUUAAUUAUAUGUAGCUGACGCCACAUAUAAUAUUUUUUUUACUGUAGUUGAAGUUAUUUACAUGAGCAAUCUUUCUCAUAAAUUAAGUUCUUUUAUCAGCAUAGAACCAAAUAAACUAAUAGCAUUACUUGAUUGAGGCAGUUUUCUUAUCUCUGUAUUCAUUUUUCAGAAAAUUUAUUGCCUUUCUCUGGUCUUCCAGCUAUGUUGUUUUUUUUUGUCAAGUUGCUCAUCAUCAUCAACAAUGCCUUUUUUAGCAUGUUGAACCUCACAAUUUACUGUUGUUAAUUAAUUCAACAGUGUCUUUUCUACUUACCAGUCUUGCAAGACUUAUAACUAGAUCAUCUCUCUACAUUCUUGAUGAAAAGGAUAAAUUAUUCUGGAAUUGCUCAUUUGAAAUGUUCCAGGUUUUAGUUAUAGGACAUUACUGAAUCUGAUUGUAGAGAAAACAUUAUGCAUCUUCCUGUUAUUCUGAAUUCUGUAGUACCAUUUGGAAGUCAUUGAUGUUCAACCGACAAGUAUAAACAUGAGUAUCGUCUGUAUACGAUCAACAUGGGAUAUGGGAUGCUUGGUAGUGUCUAAACCCACCAACUACAAUGGAAAAAUAAGUGGAAUAUUGUGUCUGUGCGCUGGUGUUGUCUGAUGCCAUUAUUUCAGUGGUGGAGAAUUGCUCGGAUAUGAGCAUGAUAAUAAGUAACUAAGCAUAGGUACUCUUUAUCAACUCUCAAACACCAUUUAGAGACUUAUCUCUGAAAGAAAUGGCUGAUUGGAACUAAAUGCAUGUGCAUUAACAUGAUUGGUAAAGGAAUGUUGUCUGAGACAGAUGAUUAGUCGAAAGUUUUCAACAUCCUUGAUUUGAGGUAGAAGAGGAAUUUGGACUUGGAGAGGGCAUAAACAAGACUACUUUUCUUGUAUUUUUCUGCAAACAGUGCGGGAUACUGCCUCAAAAGACUAAUGUUUUCGGUCCAGCAGAGGCUCUUUUACCUUCUCUCUUGUAACAAGUCCAGCAUCCAUCUUUCCUCCUAUCAACUCUGCAGUCUGUUUAGCUUUUCCACUGCCAAAGAGCACAGUUCAAAUCAUAGAUCCAACUUUACAUUGGUCGACCCCCUUGAGUCAUGUGAACUUUCCUCAAAAGAGGCUGCAAAAACGGCUGAUGAUCGCAUCUGUGAAAAAAAACUUUCAAGUUCAAGUCCUUCCAUUGAGUUCUUUAAGCAGAGUGGUUGGAGUGAUGCACAAGUCAUGAAGCUUAUGCAGAGGGAACCCGGGUUUCUACGUGCUAACGUAGAGACUAUCCUGAAGCCUAGGAUGAGAUCUUUGCAGGACAUGGGAUUUUCUGACACUGAAAUAGUUCAGCUGGUUUCAUCAUGUCCAAGGGUGCUCCUUCUACGUGACAUCCAACUGAGGAUCAACUUCUGGAGGUCACUUCUUGGUUCUAAUGAGUGGUUAAUUAAAGCCUUCAGGAGGAGCAUGUUUCUCCUUACUUCUAGCUUGGCUCGAAAGAUUGAGCCCAAUAUAUCUCUCUUGAGGGAAUGUGGCAUUAGUGAACAACGCAUUGCGCAGAUGGUGGUGAAACUACCAAGAUUUUUAUGUCGAACAGAAAAAUGUAUCAAGGAAUUUAUCGAACACGUUGAGGAGUUGGGUGUGUCACGUGACUGUAAAAUCUUCCCUCGUGCACUAUUAUCAGUCAUGACCCUGAGCAGGUCCAGGUUUGAUGCUACCUUUGCAACCCUGAUGAGCUUUGGGUGGUCCCAACCAGACUGCAUUGCUGCAUUCAGGAGGCAUCCAGUCAUUUGGAAUCUCUCAAAGAAGAACUUAUGUGAUAAGAUGACAUUCCUGAUGAAGGAAGCUGGUUGUGAGCUGACAUAUAUCAUUUAUCAUCCUGUGCUUCUUACAUAUAGCUUGGAGAAGAGGUUGAGACCUCGAUAUGAAGUUAUGAAUUUUCUUGAUCAGAAUAAAUUGCUGGAUAAAGGAUAUAACCUGCAAUCUGUCGUGAAGCUAUCUGAAGAGAAGUUCAGAAACAAAUUCCUUUUCCUGCUACGCAAGGAGAAUUUUAUUGCUCAAUAUGAUUCCUAUGUCGUUGCUGUGCAUGGAAAGCACGACGUUGUUGUGGAAAACUAGGAUUGCAAGUGCUUUCUUAAGACAAAGUGUCAACCUAUUGCAUGCUGACUGCAAGUUAAUCACUUUUUAUUUGUGACCAUUUAAAUUCUGCAGGAGUUUGUUUGAGUAUAACUUCCACGUUGAUUUGGUGAUUGUUCUUCUAUUUAUUUUUUCUACAACAAAAGGUACUGUUUCUUUUA
Musa acuminata AAA Group (dessert banana) is the source of this 4725-nucleotide RNA transcript. It is a transcript of the gene named transcription termination factor MTERF15, mitochondrial-like, with no coding region annotated. NCBI's taxonomy places the organism in Eukaryota, Viridiplantae, Streptophyta, Magnoliopsida, Zingiberales, Musaceae. The transcript is spliced from 2 exons. The record is from RefSeq and is a predicted model, not a curated record.